UACGUAGGCAGCGAGCGUUGUUCGGAGUUACUGGGCGUAAAGGGUGUGUAGGCGGUUGUUUAAGUUUGGUGUGAAAUCUCCCGGCUCAACUGGGAGGGUGCGCCGAAUACUGAAUGACUAGAGUGCGGGAGAGGAAAGUGGAAUUCCUGGUGUAGCGGUGAAAUGCGUAGAUAUCGGGAGGAACACCUGUGGCGAAGGCGGCCCCCUGGUUGGAUACUGACGCUGAGACGCGAAAGCGUGGGGAGCAAACAGG
This 253-nucleotide ribosomal RNA is filed under the name uncultured bacterium. Its description in RNAcentral is "partial 16S ribosomal RNA". It matches the Rfam family "Bacterial small subunit ribosomal RNA", at positions 524 to 776 of the family's 1533-position model. The record is from RNAcentral.